This 492-nucleotide ribosomal RNA is filed under the name uncultured bacterium. Its description in RNAcentral is "partial 16S ribosomal RNA". It matches the Rfam family "Bacterial small subunit ribosomal RNA", at positions 29 to 507 of the family's 1533-position model. The record is from RNAcentral.
AGUGAACGCUGGCGGUAGGCCUAACACAUGCAAGUCGAACGGCAGCACAGUAAGAGCUUGCUCUUACGGGUGGCGAGUGGCGGACGGGUGAGGAAUACAUCGGAAUCUACUUUUUCGUGGGGGAUAACGUAGGGAAACUUACGCUAAUACCGCAUACGACCUACGGGUGAAAGCAGGGGAUCUUCGGACCUUGCGCGAUUGAAUGAGCCGAUGUCGGAUUAGCUAGUUGGCGGGGGAAAGGCCCACCAAGGCGACGAUCCGUAGCUGGUCUGAGAGGAUGAUCGGCCACACUGGAACUGAGACACGGUCCAGACUCCUACGGGAGGCAGCAGUGGGGAAUAUUGGACAAUGGGCGCAAGCCUGAUCCAGCCAUACCGCGUGGGCGAAGAAGGCCUUCGGGUUGUAAAGCCCUUUUGUUGGGAAAGAAAAGCAGCAGGUUAAUACCCCGCUGUUCUGACGGUACCCAAAGAAUAAGCACCGGCUAACUUCGUG